RNAcentral lists this ribosomal RNA (1346 nucleotides) under uncultured bacterium. RNAcentral describes it as "partial 16S ribosomal RNA". It matches the Rfam family "Bacterial small subunit ribosomal RNA", at positions 28 to 1381 of the family's 1533-position model. The record is from RNAcentral.
GACGAACGCUGGCGGCGUGCUUAACACAUGCAAGUCGAACGGAAAGGCCCUGCUUUUGUGGGGUGCUCGAGUGGCGAACGGGUGAGUAACACGUGAGUAACCUGCCCUUGACUUUGGGAUAACUUCAGGAAACUGGGGCUAAUACCGGAUAGGAGCUCCUGCUGCAUGGUGGGGGUUGGAAAGUUUCGGCGGUUGGGGAUGAACUCGCGGCUUAUCAGCUUGUUGGUGGGGUAGUGGCUUACCAAGGCUUUGACGGGUAGCCGGCCUGAGAGGAUGACCGGCCACAUUGGGACUGAGAUACGGCCCAGACUCCUACGGGAGGCAGCAGUGGGGAAUAUUGCACAAUGGGCGGAAGCCUGAUGCAGCAACGCCGCGUGCGGGAUGACGGCCUUCGGGUUGUAAACCGCUUUCGCCUGUGACGAAGCGUGAGUGACGGUAAUGGGUAAAGAAGCACCGGCUAACUACGUGCCAGCAGCCGCGGUGAUACGUAGGGUGCGAGCGUUGUCCGGAUUUAUUGGGCGUAAAGGGCUCGUAGGUGGUUGAUCGCGUCGGAAGUGUAAUCUUGGGGCUUAACCCUGAGCGUGCUUUCGAUACGGGUUGACUUGAGGAAGGUAGGGGAGAAUGGAAUUCCUGGUGGAGCGGUGGAAUGCGCAGAUAUCAGGAGGAACACCAGUGGCGAAGGCGGUUCUCUGGGCCUUUCCUGACGCUGAGGAGCGAAAGCGUGGGGAGCGAACAGGCUUAGAUACCCUGGUAGUCCACGCUGUAAACGGUGGGUACUAGGUGUGGGGUCCAUUCCACGGGUUCCGUGCCGUAGCUAACGCUUUAAGUACCCCGCCUGGGGAGUACGGCCGCAAGGCUAAAACUCAAAGGAAUUGACGGGGCCCCGCACAAGCGGCGGAGCAUGCGGAUUAAUUCGAUGCAACGCGUAGAACCUUACCUGGGUUUGACAUGGAUCGGGAGUGCUCAGAGAUGGGUGUGCCUCUUUUGGGGUCGGUUCACAGGUGGUGCAUGGCUGUCGUCAGCUCGUGUCGUGAGAUGUUGGGUUAAGUCCCGCAACGAGCGCAACCCUUGUUCACUGUUGCCAGCACGUUAUGGUGGGGACUCAGUGGAGACCGCCGGGGUCAACUCGGAGGAAGGUGGGGAUGACGUCAAGUCAUCAUGCCCCUUAUGUCCAGGGCUUCACGCAUGCUACAAUGGCUGGUACAGAGAGUGGCGAGCCUGUGAGGGUGAGCGAAUCUCGGAAAGCCGGUCUCAGUUCGGAUUGGGGUCUGCAACUCGACCUCAUGAAGUCGGAGUCGCUAGUAAUCGCAGAUCAGCAACGCUGCGGUGAAUAAAUUCCCGGGGCU